UCUCUCUGAAUCUGCGAACGGCUCCGCAAACCAGUUGUAAGCAAUAGCAAGGAUGCUCGUCGAACCCGGGGCUCGCGCCCCGGCAAGUAGGCGGGCGACAAGGAUACCCCUGGUAAUCCUGAGGCUAAUACUUGAGCGUACGACCUUGGCAGCCCUCGCGGCAGCCGGGGACCGUGCGAUCAUUCAAAGCGGUGGGAAACCAUCCGGGAAAGGACGCACAGUCAAACCGCGGCAAAAAAUGGUUCGGCGGAAUCCCUCGGCCUUCGCGGUCGGGGGAGAAGCCGUUUCUCGCGGGUCUUGCACUGCGCUUCUGACCUAUCAACUGUAUAGCAGUGUAAGGGACAUGCUAUGGUUACAACGGGUACAGAGGAUUAGGGUUCGAUCCUGGAGAGUGGGCCUGAGAGAUU
This 407-nucleotide ribosomal RNA is filed under the name Physarum vernum. RNAcentral describes it as "SSU rRNA". It matches the Rfam family "Eukaryotic small subunit ribosomal RNA", at positions 76 to 405 of the family's 1831-position model. The record is from RNAcentral. Lineage: Eukaryota; Evosea; Eumycetozoa; Physariida; Physaraceae.